RNAcentral lists this microRNA precursor (78 nucleotides) under Capitella teleta. RNAcentral's name for it is "microRNA cte-mir-2721 precursor". The record is from miRBase by way of RNAcentral. Lineage: Eukaryota; Metazoa; Annelida; Polychaeta; Capitellidae.
AGAUUGAAAGUGGUUUUGAUGCCAUCUUGGAUUGUGGCUCAAUUGUUGCAAUUGGAACUGACGCAAGGCCGAAGUGAG